Molecule: ribosomal RNA, 301 nt
Filed under: uncultured bacterium
Lineage: Bacteria
Description: partial 16S ribosomal RNA
Rfam family: Bacterial small subunit ribosomal RNA
Source: RNAcentral
CAGCAGCCGCGGGAAUACGAAGGGUGCAAGCGUUAAUCGGAAUUACUGGGCGUAAAGCGUGCGUAGGCGGUGAGUUAAGUCUGCUGUGAAAUCCCCGGGCUCAACCUGGGAAUGGCAGUGGAUACUGGCUCGCUAGAGUGUGUCAGAGGAUGGUGGAAUUCCCGGUGUAGCGGUGAAAUGCGUAGAGAUGUGGAGGAACACCAGUGGCGAAGGCGACUCUCUGGUCUGUAACUGACGCUGAGGAGCGAAAGCGUGGGGAGCGAACAGGAUUAGAUACCCCGGUAGUCCCUGUCUCUUAUAC